GAUGAACGCUGGCGGCGUGCCUAAUACAUGCAAGUCGAGCGAACGGACGAGAAGCUUGCUUCUCUGAUGUUAGCGGCGGCCGGGUGAGUAACACGUGGAUAACCUACCAUUAAGACUGGGAUAACUUCGGGAAACCGUAGCUAAUACCGGAUAAUAUUUUGAACCGCAUGGUCCAAAAGUGAAAGACGGUCUUGCUGUCACUUAUAGAUGGAUCCGCGCUGCAUUAGCUAGUUGGUAAGGUAACGGCUUACCAAGGCAACGAUGCAUAGCCGACCUGAGAGGGUGAUCGGCCACACUGGAACUGAGACACGGUCCAGACUCCUACGGGAGGCAGCAGUAGGGAAUCUUCCGCAAUGGGCGAAAGCCUGACGUAGCAACGCCGCGUGAGUGAUGAAGGUCUUCGGAUCGUAAAACUCUGUUAUUAGGGAAGAACAUAUGUGUAAGUAACUGUGCACAUCUUGACGGUACCUAAUCAGAAAGCCACGGCUAACUACGUG
RNAcentral lists this ribosomal RNA (497 nucleotides) under uncultured bacterium. RNAcentral describes it as "partial 16S ribosomal RNA". It matches the Rfam family "Bacterial small subunit ribosomal RNA", at positions 28 to 507 of the family's 1533-position model. The record is from RNAcentral.